UACGGAGGGUGCAAGCGUUAUCCGGAUUCACUGGGUUUAAAGGGUGCGUAGGUGGGCUGGUAAGUCAGUGGUGAAAUCUCCGGGCUUAACUCGGAAACUGCCAUGGAUACUAUUUGUCUUGAAUAUUGUGGAGGUAAGCGGAAUAUGUCAUGUAGCGGUGAAAUGCUUAGAUAUGACAUAGAACACCAAUUGCGAAGGCAGCUUACUACACAGUUAUUGACGCUGAGGCACGAAAGCGUGGGGAUCAAACAGG
RNAcentral lists this ribosomal RNA (253 nucleotides) under uncultured bacterium. RNAcentral describes it as "partial 16S ribosomal RNA". It matches the Rfam family "Bacterial small subunit ribosomal RNA", at positions 524 to 776 of the family's 1533-position model. The record is from RNAcentral.